RNAcentral lists this long non-coding RNA (359 nucleotides) under Chloebia gouldiae (Gouldian finch). RNAcentral describes it as "Erythrura gouldiae (Gouldian finch) lncRNA (ENSEGOG00005004939.1)". The record is from RNAcentral. Lineage: Eukaryota; Metazoa; Chordata; Aves; Passeriformes; Passeridae.
UAAGCUUGGAGUGCCCAGUCACCGUGGUAACUGCCAGAAAAAUUCUCAUGAAGUUUGAAGAGCCUGACGAUGCAGGGUGAGGAGUGCCCAGCGACCUUUGUGUGCUCAAGGCACAGCUUCAUCCUGGCCUUCAGUGGGACAGUGCACAUGGAAAUGUGUGAUCUAUUCCUUCCUGAGCCCCAGUGAUGCCUUGCUUUGCAGUUCCUCUCGCUGGUUCUCAUAUCCUGGCAAGAUGCUACAAACCCCACGUGACAAAGAUUAGAAGGAAAUACUUAUUUGAAGAAAUCUCUGUCGUUAGCUGUGCUCUCCAGCUCUUAAACCAUUAUAGAGCCUUACUGUGUAGACCAGCUGAACCUGAA